AGCGAGAUAUUUCUUGCCUGCAUUUUUUCCCUCAUUUCUCUUCUCCCCUCUGACUUUAAGCCGGGAACAUUCCUUACUUCAGGGUGAGGGCUGAAGUUUCGAGAACAGUCCGGCUCCAGGUGGAGUUGGCCGACGGGCAGCAUCAGCAUUACCUGAGAGGGAGGCAGAUUCUGGGACCACAGCCCACAUCUCCUGAAGCUCACAGCCCACAUCUCCUAAAGCCCAAUCUGUCUCUGGGGAUGAGGCUGAGAAAUCUGUUUUAACACAUAACCUUCUCAGGUUAUUACACACGGGACCUUGGGGAAGUCACUCAACCAGCUAACGUGUGUCAGUGCUCACCGUGCGCCAGGCAUCUUUGAAUCCUCCCCAUAGCCCUUGAGGCUUUUUCGAUAAUGCUGAGAGGUCUCGGCUCCUGCAGACUGCAAGCUGGGUGCCUUCCUUCUACAGAACACACGCCCCCUUGCAAGGAAACCACGGAAUUUCCCCAGCAAGGAGUCUUCUGCAACUCCAGGCCACAGGAAGGUCACAAAUGGUCAGAAAAGGAGCAAAUGCGAGGAGGAAGCACCAGCCCCGCCCAUGUUGUCCGGGGCCCCUCCCAAGGGGACAGGAAAUCGCCAUAAACAGGACGCAGAGCAUCCAGGGAGCGUCUGGGCUGCAGGGUUUAAAAAAUAUCCUGGACUUUGGAAAAUAAAGUAAAAUGAGGAUGGAACAGACUUCGGCUCUGCUAACACUGAAACUCCAGUCAAGUUGUAAACUGAGAAAGAAUGUGUUGGAACUAGGAAUUGCCCCAUAGUCUUCACAGGUGAGUAUGAUGGAUUAAUGAAUGGAAGUUCAGGAAACAUUUCUUACCUUCACCUCAGUCCUUCAUGCCCUGACUGAAGUCAAACAGUCACUGUGAUCACUGUUCAAAGUGUAACCAUUGAACAGCUGUAACCAUUUAAGCUGUUAGCAGGUUUCCUCUGGAAAGGAAGUGGGCUCAGAUCUUCAAAUGCUAGGAGAGUCACGGGAGCAGAGAUGAUCUGUCUUGCUUCAGGGCUAGCCUUGCUUUCAUGAGGUCUCUAAAAUUUUCCCGUUUUAAAGAAUCUUACUCUCUUACCAAGAAUUAGCUCGAUAUAUUUCGGAGAAAAACUAACCCUCACACCUUUUUCCAUUGCAUUGGCAUUUUGUUGAAGUGACAAAAGUAUUUUUUUUUUUUUUAAAUACCAACUAACCACAAACCGAUGUGCAGAAAUUGGCAAGCGAAACACAGACAAUCGGAAUUUGAAAAUCAAACCAGAAAAAAAAGAAAAAAACCUAAGUCCAGGAGACAUGCAAGCAAUUUGAUAACUCACAGAGUAUCCUCUUCAUGUUUAUAGGGUAAGACCCAUGGACCAAACUUUAAUUUUGGUAGUGCUCUGUAAAAAUUACACAAGAGCCUGUUAAACCAAAAUGCUGCUUGAAAGUGUUAUCUUUGGUGAUAUGUCACUGAUGCUGGAUUUUUAAACCUCCUAUCUUAAACACAUGACUCAUGUAGAGAUUAUAUUUUGUCAUAAGACUUCCUACUUCCUAUUUGUGCUUAGUCUAUUUCAUAGCUUAUAGCAAUUAUUAUGGGACCAUAGUUGGAGUUGAAAUGUAACCAAAAAUUAUUAUUCUAUGAAUAUAUUAAAGUUUAGCAUAAAAA
Long non-coding RNA from Sapajus apella (tufted capuchin), 1660 nucleotides. RefSeq lists it as uncharacterized. The transcript has 4 exons. The record is from RefSeq and is a predicted model, not a curated record. NCBI's taxonomy places the organism in Eukaryota, Metazoa, Chordata, Mammalia, Primates, Cebidae.